Molecule: ribosomal RNA, 468 nt
Filed under: uncultured bacterium
Lineage: Bacteria
Description: partial 16S ribosomal RNA
Rfam family: Bacterial small subunit ribosomal RNA
Source: RNAcentral
GACGAACGCUGGCGGCGUGCUUAACACAUGCAAGUCGAACGGAAAGGCCCUGCUUUUGUGGGGUGCUCGAGUGGCGAACGGGUGAGUAACACGUGAGUAACCUGCCCUUGACUUUGGGAUAACUUCAGGAAACUGGGGCUAAUACCGGCUAGGAGCUCCUGCUGCAUGGGGGGGGUUGGAAAGUUUCGGUGGUGGGGGAUGGACUCGGGGCUUAACAGCUGGUUGGUGGGGUAGGGGCUUACCAAGGCAUUGACGGGUAGCCGGCCUGGGAGGGUGACCGGCGACAUGGGGCCUACGGGACGGCGCAGACUCCUACGUGGGGCAGCGGUGGGGAGUAUGGCACAAUGGGCCGAAGCCUGAGACAGCAGCGCUGCGUGCGUGAUGACGGUCUUCGGGGUAGGAACGGCAUUAGCCUGUGACGUAGCGGUAGUGACGGUAAUGGGUAAAUAAGCACCGGCUAACUACGUG